Molecule: ribosomal RNA, 481 nt
Filed under: uncultured bacterium
Lineage: Bacteria
Description: SSU rRNA
Rfam family: Bacterial small subunit ribosomal RNA
Source: RNAcentral
AGGACGAACGCUGGCGGCGUGCCUAACACAUGCAAGUGGAGCGACGAACCAGGCUUCGGCCUGGGGCAAAGCCGCGAACGGGUGAGUAACACGUGGGUAACCUGCCCCGAUGAUUGGGACAACCCGAGGAAACUCGGGCUAAUACCAAAUGUGACCUCCGACCGUAAGGUUGAUGGGGAAAGGAAGCUUCGGCCUCCGCAUUGGGAUGGGCCCGCGGCCCAUUAGCUUGUUGGUGAGGUAACGGCUCACCAAGGCGACGAUGGGUAGCUGGUCUGAGAGGACGACCAGCCACACUGGAACUGAGGCACGGCCCAGACUCCUACGGGAGGCAGCAGUGAGGAAUUUUCCGCAAUGGGCGAAAGCCUGACGGAGCGACGCCGCGUGUGGGAUGAAGGCCUUCGGGUCGUAAACCACUGUCGAAGGGGAAGAUAUUGACGGUACCCUUGGAGGAAGCCCCGGCUAACUACGUGCCAGCAGCCGC